AGCAGCCGCGGUAAUUCCAGCUCCAAUAGCGUAUAUUAAAGUUGUUGCAGUUAAAAAGCUCGUAGUUGAAUUUCGGGAUCAAUAUGUUGGUCGUGCCUCGGUACGUACUGGCACCGUUGGUUUCUACCUUCUGACGAACCAUGAUGUCAUUAAUUUGGUGUCUUGGGAAAUCAGGACUGUUACUUUGAAAAAUUAGAGUGUUUAAAGCAGGCUCACGCUUGAAUACAUUAGCAUGGAAUAAUGAAAUAGGACGUUUGAUUCUAUUUUGUUGGUUUCUAGGAUCGACGUAAUGAUUAAUAGGGAUAGUUGGGGGCAUUAGUAUUCAAUUGUCAGAGGUGAAAUUCUUGGAUUUAUUGAAGACUAACUACUGCGAAAGCAUUUGCCAAGGAUGUUUUCAUUAAUCAAGAACGAAAGUUAGGGGAUCGAAGACGAUCAGAUACCGUCGUAGUCUUAACCAUAAACUAUGCCGACUAGGGAUCGGAUGAUGUUAAUUUUUUAAUGUACUCAUUCGGCGCCUUAA
Molecule: ribosomal RNA, 520 nt
Filed under: uncultured Glomeromycotina
Lineage: Eukaryota; Fungi; Glomeromycota
Description: SSU rRNA
Rfam family: Eukaryotic small subunit ribosomal RNA
Source: RNAcentral